This 99-nucleotide long non-coding RNA is filed under the name Numida meleagris (helmeted guineafowl). Its description in RNAcentral is "lncRNA (ENSNMEG00000018793.1)". The record is from RNAcentral. Lineage: Eukaryota; Metazoa; Chordata; Aves; Galliformes; Numididae.
GUAAAGCCAAAACCUUGCCCACAGACAGCAGCACUCUCCAGAGGAGUCCUGUGCCUGCUCUGAGCAGCAGCAGAUUAGCAGUGAAAGUGCAGCUGUAAC